AACCUUCAGUUCAUGAGUGUGAUGAUUGAGUAUCACACUAUUGUGUGAGCUGUGCCUCCCUCUAAACCUUGUUACAACGUCAGCACUUACAUCUGAUG
Molecule: small nucleolar RNA, 98 nt
Organism: Sciurus carolinensis (gray squirrel)
Lineage: Eukaryota; Metazoa; Chordata; Mammalia; Rodentia; Sciuridae
Product: small nucleolar RNA U13
Exons: 1
Source: RefSeq, a predicted model, not a curated record